RNAcentral lists this transfer RNA (76 nucleotides) under bacterium. RNAcentral describes it as "tRNA-Met". It matches the Rfam family "tRNA". From Rfam's summary of the family: Transfer RNA (tRNA) molecules are approximately 80 nucleotides in length. The record is from RNAcentral. RNAcentral also lists the same sequence under 1 other name.
GGCGAUGUAGCUCAGUCGGUAGAGCGGGGGUCUCAUAAGCCCCGUGUCGGCGGUUCGAGUCCGCCCAUCGCCACCA